GAUGAACGCUGGCGGCGUGCCUAAUACAUGCAAGUCGAGCGAACGGACGAGAAGCUUGCUUCUCUGAUGUUAGCGGCGGACGGGUGAGUAACACGUGGAUAACCUACCUAUAAGACUGGGAUAACUUCGGGAAACCGGAGCUAAUACCGGAUAAUAUUUUGAACCGCAUGGUUCAAAAGUGAAAGACGGUCUUGCUGUCACUUAUAGAUGGAUCCGCGCUGCAUUAGCUAGUUGGUAAGGUAACGGCUUACCAAGGCAACGAUGCAUAGCGGACCUGAGAGGGUGAUCGGCCACACUGGAACUGAGACACGGUCCAGACUCCUACGGGAGGCAGCAGUAGGGAAUCUUCCGCAAAGGGCGAAAGCCUGACGGAGCAACGCCGCGUGAGUGAUGAAGGUCUUCGGAUCGUAAAACUCUGUUAUUAGGGAAGAACAUAUGUGUAAGUAACUGUGCACAUCUUGACGGUACCUAAUCAGAAAGCCACGGCUAACUACGUG
Molecule: ribosomal RNA, 497 nt
Filed under: uncultured bacterium
Lineage: Bacteria
Description: partial 16S ribosomal RNA
Rfam family: Bacterial small subunit ribosomal RNA
Source: RNAcentral